This 1143-nucleotide ribosomal RNA is filed under the name Triticum aestivum (bread wheat). RNAcentral's name for it is "partial small subunit ribosomal RNA". The record is from RNAcentral. Lineage: Eukaryota; Viridiplantae; Streptophyta; Magnoliopsida; Poales; Poaceae.
AUGAAUCUGACAGACAGAGAAAGUGCAAAAUUGGUGGUGGAUGAUCAGCAUGGAAAUCAAGGUGAACCAAUAGUGGCGGUGGUAGGUAAGGUGCUGCACAGGAGGGUACUUCAUGUAAACACCAUUGCCGAAGCUUUGAGGCCUGCAUGGGGCAACUCAAGGGGACUCUCGUUCAGCUCUGCAGGAGAUAAUAUGUUUGUGGCAAGGUUUGAAGGGAAGAGGGAUCGGGACAGGAUCUUCGAGGGAGGACCAUGGAUGGUGGGCAAGCAUGCGGUAGUGCUUCAGAUCUUCUAUGAGAGUCAAAUGCCCUCCGAUCUAAAAUUUGAGAUGAUACAGAUCUGGGCUAGAGUUAUCAAUCUGCCCUUCAACUUGAGGCGAUCCCCAUGGCCACAGAAGAUAGCUCAACUGUUGGGGAAAGUCAUGAGGGUUGAUGUGGAUUCGAAAGGUUUUGCAUAUGGGAAAGCAUUGAGGACACGUGUAUGGAUAAAUGUGAAGGAACCAUUAAUGAGGUGGGUGAGGCUAGAAUCUGCGAAAACCAAAGAGGAUAUAUUGUAUGAUGUUCAGUAUGAAUCUCUACCAUAUUUUUGUUUCUCUUGUGGAUUACUUGGACACGCAGAUACGUUCUGUCCAACACCGGCAGGUGAUGAUGCCUAUGGGAGGCUCCCAUAUGGGGAAAAUCUCAGAGUCCCAAUGAGGAAGAAGGACUGGGGUAGUGGACCUUUCAGGGGAUAUGGAGAGACAGCUGAUAAUCAGUAUGCUGAGGAGGACUGGGAAGAUGAGGACGUGGAGAAAGGUGAGGAAGUAACCUCGUUUGAUAAGUCUGCAUCUAGUCGUGUUAAAAAUGCAGUCUAUCGGUCCAAUGCUCGAGGUGGAGGGGCUACUGGGAGAGGCGUACCAUCUCAACGGGGCAGAGGUAACGGAAAGAAUCAUGUUUACAGGAGGGUGAACAUGGAUGAGGGUGGUCGUAGAUCACCACUUAUGCUAGUAGAUCAGGAAACUUUGAAUAAGAAGAGAACUAGUGAAACGGAGGCGUCCGACAACUCUAAGGAGGACAGUCGGGACUCUAAGAAGAAGAAAGCAGAGGGGGAGACUAGCACUAAAAAUAUGGUGGAGGCUGGGAGCCAGCCCCACCGGGACCAAUGA